Molecule: long non-coding RNA, 785 nt
Filed under: Brassica napus (rape)
Lineage: Eukaryota; Viridiplantae; Streptophyta; Magnoliopsida; Brassicales; Brassicaceae
Description: long non-coding RNA (BNAP_LNC001202)
Source: RNAcentral
GUCCAUGGCAAAUUCACGUGAUAUAUCAUAUACUUAGACACACAAAAAAAAUUACAUAUACUUACACCUUUUAAUUUAAUUUAAAAGUUUAUCAUGGCAAAUAAACCCUUUAAUUUAAAAGUUAACAGUUAUGGAAAAAGAUGAUAAUAAUAUUUAUCACAAAACAAAAAUGUUAGCGGUGGUAGAAACAUUUUAAAUGGGAAAAUAUCUAGUGGUGUAAAAAUCUUGCGAUGAUAAGAAAACAACAAAAGACUGCAUGAUUCACAUAACUACCAUUUUUCCAUUUCAAAAGGUGAACAGUUGCUAGAUUCUAGUAUGAAUCUUUACUGGAAAGUCAGUUAUACAAAUGUGCAAGGUAUGAAACAAAGUCAAUACGCGUUUUUAAAGUAGACGUGAUGUUAUAUGCGUUUACUCGAUUUGAAUAAAAUUUGAGCUUACUUUCAGUGGUUAUCUCUCACAUUUAUAAUUAAACGUUGACUACCUUUACUUUACUGAAAAGUAUUUUAAAGAAUAAUUGAAUUUGUGUUAAAAAGUAUAACUGAAUUUAAAACGUGAUUAACCGACUCAGUAACUGAAAUACAACUGAACAUUUUUCUUUUUGUUGGAAUAAAUAUCAUUUUAGCAAAUCAUGUAAAUGAUUCGUUAACUUAAAUAUAAGUAACGUAUUCUCCAAUGGUACACUAUAAUUUUCUCUAUAUUUAAUUUUAAAAUAGAGUAACUCAAUUAUAGAGCUGGAUUUGCUCCAAUGGUUCACUUUAUAAUAGAGUUACUCUAUAAUAGAGUGA